UAAAAAGAAUCUAAAUUUUAGAAAUUAAUUUCGGCUUAAUAUUAGGUAAUUAAAUUUUUACCCUUUUUAA
This 70-nucleotide transfer RNA is filed under the name Psyllaephagus sp. Its description in RNAcentral is "tRNA-Arg". The record is from RNAcentral. Lineage: Eukaryota; Metazoa; Arthropoda; Insecta; Hymenoptera; Encyrtidae.